Molecule: long non-coding RNA, 1812 nt
Filed under: Equus caballus (horse)
Lineage: Eukaryota; Metazoa; Chordata; Mammalia; Perissodactyla; Equidae
Description: lncRNA (ENSECAG00000060271.1)
Source: RNAcentral
AUUUCUGUUCCUGAUUGGUGGCACGUUGCACUGAAUCCUUGAUCCCUGCAGCCUUUCAGCCCAGGGCAGCCAUCAGCACCCAGGCACCCUGGACCUUACAUCCGUCAGGCGGCCCCAGGUGGACCCGGACAGAGCAUGGCCGCAGCUCCAGUGCAUGGCAGUAUACCCUAGUUGCCAGUCUUCUAGUUCUUCCACGUUGGCCUCUGCCACAGCAUGGCAACUGACAGACAGGUGGUGUGGUUCUGCGACCGGCAAUGAUCGCUGACCACCAAAGCGGAGACUGUGGAACCUCAACCACUAGGCCAUCAGGACCGCCCAGGGUGGGCUUUUAACCCCUGCCCGUGCCCACCUGGCGGCCAGUCCCAGCCUAGGCUCCGCUUGCGCCACAAUGGGUCGUUUGUGACGUCGUGCGUUCCCCUCCCCACGUGACCCCAUCCCCGAGAGUUUUGCACAAAAUUCCUCCGCCGGGCUCUUUGCCCAGAGCGACUCUUCCCUAGACGGCCCUUCCCAUUCCAGCCGGCCCUCGGUUCACCCCGCCACGCCUGUCCUUUAUCCCUUCUGGAAUCAGACGUCAGUGGCCUGCCCGUCACUGCGCCACCGCUGGCAGAGGGGUAGCUCCUCCAGCCAGUUUAGCAGCGCCAAGCGGCCUCCCACGGGCCUCCUGCCUCCCGAGGCCCAGGGCGCGGGCUUGAGCCCGAGUCCAGGAGCUGCCCGGCGUCCCCUUGCACGGUGGGGGGCGGGGCUCCCCCUCUGACCACGCCCCUCCGGAGGCCCCGCCCAAGUGCGGGCACGCGGUUUCUAUGGUGACGGCAAACAAGCCUCAGGCCUCCUGUGGCUUCAAGAACCCAGCACCGCCACCCCUUAGUCCCGCCAAUAAGGUGAUCAAGACUGACGGCACAGAUGCCCACAUGGAGUGACCUGGAACACCGAGAAACCGCCCGAGUAGGGCCAGGCCAGGGAGGGGCUGCCUGGGGGCCAGGACAAGGAAACGUGAACUCUGGGGACCCGGCGUGCAGCCCUCAAGAACAGGCAGUGGCAACUGGCGAACCUGGGCUUGAGAUCUAAGGAAGACGAUGAGCAGCAGGACCCCGGUGUUACGUGGGCCCAGGCAGCAGACGUUGGGGAAGGAGGACGCCAGGAGUGACAGGGGCUCAUUCCUCAAGCAGGACCUUGUAGCCGUUCCCUGGGCCGCAGGCCGCCUGCAUAGGAGGGGCUCUGCCAGGCUGGGGGUGUGAGCUGUGGACGGAGUGCUGCGAAGAGCAGGGUCCCGGGACCCACGCAUUGCAGGGGGGUGCCGGCCACAGACUUUCAGUUUAUACAUCCACGUAGUGAAAGGGCUAAGUAGUUGUCGAAUUCUCUGUUAAGGAAACAGCGCCUCCAUCCCCCUCAGUCCAUUUCCUUCUCUCACGGGAAACCAUUUUCACAACUUGGCGCUUCUUUUUUUCUGAGUGCCCCCACGUUGAUUUCACCUCCUGUUGUCUUGCCUGCUGCCUGAGACCUGGAAUCUGUAUAUUUCUCUCUCUCACAUACACACACACUCGGGACAAAUGUGUCCUUUACUGAAUGUAGAAAGGAAUCGGAAGACGGCUGCUGCCCAUUGCCGUGUCUGAAAGGUGCUUCAGAAACAGAAAGCAAAACUCUGACCCUGGAGACAGAGAUUCUCCAGGAAAUCUGUGAGCGAGAAAGACGCCCAGCUGCCUGAUUGGGAUUUCUCUUCCAUUUGCUGUAUUGGCUUUCAAGAAUCUCGAAGGAUCGGUGCAAGAUGCUUACGAUAGAAUAGCAUCUUCAAAAUGCCCGAAGGACUGCUUAGCC